UAGGGAAUAUUGGACAAUGGGCGCAAGCCUGAUCCAGCCAUCCCGCGUGAAGGAUUAAGGCCCUCUGGGUUGUAAACUUCUUUUUUUUGGGAAUAAAAACCGGAAUUCAUUUCGGCUUGAAGGUACCAGAAGAAUAAGCACCGGCUAACUCCGUGCCAGCAGCCGCGGUAAUACGGAGGGUGCAAGCGUUAUCCGGAUUCACUGGGUUUAAAGGGUGCGUAGGUGGCUUUGUAAGUCAGUGGUGAAAUCUCGGAGCUUAACUCCGAAACUGCCAUUGAUACUGCUUAGCUUGAAUCAGGUCGAGGUGGAUGGAAUAUUACAUGUAGCGGUGAAAUGCUUAGAUAUGUAAUAGAACACCGAUUGCGAAGGCAGUUCACUAGGCCUGUAUUGACACUGAGGCACGAAAGCGUGGGGAUCAAA
Molecule: ribosomal RNA, 420 nt
Filed under: uncultured bacterium
Lineage: Bacteria
Description: bacterial SSU rRNA
Rfam family: Bacterial small subunit ribosomal RNA
Source: RNAcentral